RNAcentral lists this transfer RNA (62 nucleotides) under Nosodendron sp. BMNH 840466. RNAcentral describes it as "tRNA-Cys". Lineage: Eukaryota; Metazoa; Arthropoda; Insecta; Coleoptera; Nosodendridae. The record is from RNAcentral.
AGUCUUGUAUUCAUAAAUGAUAUUAAAUUGCAAAUUUAAAGGUAGAAAGUUUCUUAAGGCUU